RNAcentral lists this ribosomal RNA (253 nucleotides) under uncultured bacterium. Its description in RNAcentral is "partial 16S ribosomal RNA". It matches the Rfam family "Bacterial small subunit ribosomal RNA", at positions 524 to 776 of the family's 1533-position model. The record is from RNAcentral.
UACGGAGGGAGCUAGCGUUGUUCGGAAUUACUGGGCGUAAAGCGUGCGCAGGCGGCUUUGCAAGACAGAUGUGAAAUCCCCGGGCUCAACCUGGGAACUGCAUUUGUGACUGCAAGGCUAGAGUACGGCAGAGGGGGAUGGAAUUCCGCGUGUAGCAGUGAAAUGCGUAGAUAUGCGGAGGAACACCAAUGGCGAAGGCAAUCCCCUGGGCCUGUACUGACGCUCAUGUACGAAAGCGUGGGGAGCAAACAGG